RNAcentral lists this long non-coding RNA (757 nucleotides) under Capsicum annuum. Its description in RNAcentral is "long non-coding RNA (CANN_LNC021174)". Lineage: Eukaryota; Viridiplantae; Streptophyta; Magnoliopsida; Solanales; Solanaceae. The record is from RNAcentral.
GAUCCUUAUAUGCUUUCCAUGAGUAAGUGAUUAAGCUUUCUCAAUAAGUAGAAAAGGGUUAUGCAGAGUAGUGUCUUUGGAGUUCAUGGUUAUGGAAUGCAAUAAUACACAAAAAUGUUCUUUUAAUACACGAAAGUGUUAUUUUAAUUAAAGCAAUGUGGAUGGAAUAUAAUCAGUAUGAAAAAGUAUAAACAUGUUGAUGUAAAUAAAAAUGUGCUCCCUCAUAACUUAGAUUUCAAAUAAAAUUGUCACACACUUCAACAUGCAAUCAAAGAAGGCGUAGGUCCUUGUGUCCUGCUUUUAGUCUCAGCACCACCCAUUAUCAAAAAGAAUUUUCAUGUGCAUGGCUCAUGAAAAAGUAUGCAGCCCGCGCAUGAGGGUGUGUGUUGAAGUUAUAAUUAACAAAAAGCGUGCCUCUAUUUAAUAACUUGAGGUUUUAAAUAUCGUCACACACUUCAACACACGUUAUGAUAUCUGGUGUUCCUAGAAAUCUUCUGAGUCUUCUGAUAUUUCCUUCCCCAUUUGUUGUGUUUUACUUUUUACUUCUUCCUCCGUCUCCAAAUGAAUGUUUGUCUAGAGGCUGACGGCCAACUGUUUCUGAUAUUUCCUACCCCAUUUGUUGUGUUUUACUUUUUACUUCUCCCUCCGUCUCCAAAUGAAUGUUUGUCUAGAGGCUGACGGCCAACUGAACCUUAAGUGUACACUCACAACUGUAUGUUUGUCUAGUGGCGGAAGGCCAACUGAACCUUAAGGGUAC